This 1662-nucleotide long non-coding RNA is filed under the name Cervus hanglu yarkandensis (Yarkand deer). RNAcentral describes it as "lncRNA (ENSCHYG00000004773.1)". Lineage: Eukaryota; Metazoa; Chordata; Mammalia; Artiodactyla; Cervidae. The record is from RNAcentral.
AUGGCAGCAAACUUCUAUGCUGGGCUCUGCCAAGCUUCCUGCUCCACCCACCCCCUCCUCCAGGUGUGCUCCCAGCUCCCCCAAUCACUGUGCUCCACCAAUGCUGCUGGGUUGUGCUCCAUGGGCAUCUCACAGCAGCGAGGGCAGCGCCCCCACCCCCCCAAAACUGGACCUCCCACUUCUCACCCAGAAGGGAAGAGGCGGCAAAUCAGAGGUUGGGGAAUUCGCAGCUGGGUGGGUGACCUCCCCCCAGGUGCCCCCUCUUAUCCAGGGUGGGGCUGGGGCUUGCGUGGCAGUGCCCAGUGGGCACCCUGCCCCGCCCAGGCCCCGCCUAAAGGACCCAAACGGGCGGGCCCUGGAGGCCCAGCUGUAGCAUCCUCGGGGCGGUCAGGGCCCCUCCCCGUAGGGAGGGCAGAAAAUGUGCUGCCUCACCAGCCACCACCGCCAGCCCGGGGGGGGGGGGGGGGGGCACCCCUGCGGGAAGACGCCCCACCUCAUCCUUCUAUUCCCCCUGCGCCAUGCACUUUAACCAAGUUUUGCAAAGGGCAUUGGCCAGGCGGCCACAGCCCGUCGGGCGGGGGCUCCGUGUCCUCCCAGACCCCGGGUCUGGAGAAGAAGGGCCGUGUGGCCGCGCCCACCAGGCUCAGCUCUCCCCAUCCCCCGCGCGGGGCCUGGGAGCCCAGAGCCCUGCGGCGCGUCCAGCCGCCCAGCGCUGCCCUUGGAAGGAGCGACGGGCGGCUCCCUAGCAUCUGUGCCGAAACCCCGUUAGGGGCACCGAGGGCGCUCGGGAUGCCUCCACCGAGGGGACCCGCAGCUCGGGAAGGGUUCCCCAACGCCGGCAGCGCCCCCUCCUCGCUUGCAGGCGACGGGGAAGUUGGGGCGGGGGGUGCACCCAGAACGAGCUCCCGCUCACGCCCACCCGCCGGGCCCCGACCCCUUCGGCCUCCCCUCACGCCCCGACAAUGCCUCCGGGUCGGCCGCCCGGCUCCGGACCAGGCCCGGGGCUACCGCCGCCUCCCGCAAUCCCUCGGUCCUUUGUUGCCCGGCGAGCCCCCUCCCUCGGGGUUCGUCCGGCUGUUCCUACCUUCGCCCCUCCAGCAGCAGGCGGAGCGGCGGGCGGCGGGGGCGCCCGACCCCCGUCCUCUCCCGGCGCCGGGGCACCGGCGGGGGCAGAGGAUGCUGCGGCUCCCCCUCCCCGCGCGCCGCUGCCCACCGCCUGCAGCCCCUCCCGGCACCGGGGUUCCGCGUUCGCGCUCCGGGUCCGGGCCUCGCGCGCCGCGUGUGCGGCCGGCUGGGCGGCGGCAGGAAAGCGGGGAGGCGCUGAGCCGGGCAGCCCUGGCCGCCGCCUGCGCUCCCAGCGGCGGAGCCCGAGCCGAGCAGAGCGGGAGCGGAGCGAGCGGCCCGGCUCCGGGAGGGAACAAAAGGGGCAGGCGCUGGGGCGGGCGCGGGAGGGCGGGGCCUGGCGCGGCGGGGGUCAGGCGGGCGCUCGCGCGGCCUCGCGUUUCUCAGGCUGCGGCGCCGCGCCGCAAGGGGGCGGGCGGGCGGAAAACGCCCCGGCACCUCGUCCACCGGCUCCUAGAGGCGGUCAGUGGCUGGGAGUCCGAGGCGUGCCAGCCCCGCACCUCGGCGCCGGGCACCCAUCGGCGCUUCCAUCGUGUGUGA